RNAcentral lists this ribosomal RNA (498 nucleotides) under uncultured bacterium. RNAcentral describes it as "partial 16S ribosomal RNA". It matches the Rfam family "Bacterial small subunit ribosomal RNA", at positions 30 to 523 of the family's 1533-position model. The record is from RNAcentral.
AUUGAACGCUGGCGGCAUGCCUUACACAUGCAAGUCGAACGGUAACAGGUCUUCGGAUGCUGACGAGUGGCGAACGGGUGAGUAAUACAUCGGAACGUGCCUAGUAGUGGGGGAUAACUACUCGAAAGAGUGGCUAAUACCGCAUGAGAUCUACGGAUGAAAGCAGGGGAUCGCAAGACCUUGUGCUACUAGAGCGGCCGAUGGCAGAUUAGGUAGUUGGUGGGAUAAAAGCUUACCAAGCCGACGAUCUGUAGCUGGUCUGCGAGGACGAUCAGCCACACGGGGACUGAGAAACGGCCCAGACUCCUACGGGAGGCAGCAGUGGGGAAUUGUGGACAAUGGGCGCAAGCCUGAUCCAGCAAUGCCGCGUGCAGGAUGAAGGCCUUCGGGUUGUAAACUGCUUUUGUACGGAACGAAAAGCCCCGGGUUAAUACCCUGGGGUCAUGACGGUACCGUAAGAAUAAGCACCGGCUAACUACGUGCCAGCCGCCGCGGUAA